GACGAACGCUGGCGGCGUGCUUAACACAUGCGAGUCGAACGGAAAGGCCCUGCUUUUGUGGGGUGCUCGAGUGGCGAACGGGUGAGUAACACGUGAGUAACCUGCCCUUGACUUUGGGAUAACUUCGGGAAACUGGGGCUAAUACCGGAUAGGAGCUCCUGCUGCAUGGUGGGGGUUGGAAAGUUUCGGCGGUUGGGGAUGGACUCGCGGCUUAUCAGCUUGUUGGUGGGGUAGUGGCUUACCCAGGCUUUGACGGGUAGCCGGCCUGAGAGGGUGACCGGCCACAUUGGGACUGAGGUACGGCCCAGACUGCUACGGGAGGCAGCAGUGGGGAAUAUUGCACAAUGGGCGGAAGCCUGAUGCAGCAACGCCGCGUGCGGGAUGACGGCCUUCGGGUUGUAAACCGCUUUCGCCUGUGACGAAGCGUGAGUGACGGUAAUGGGUAAAGAAGCACCGGCUAACUACGUG
This 468-nucleotide ribosomal RNA is filed under the name uncultured bacterium. RNAcentral describes it as "partial 16S ribosomal RNA". It matches the Rfam family "Bacterial small subunit ribosomal RNA", at positions 28 to 507 of the family's 1533-position model. The record is from RNAcentral.